This 539-nucleotide ribosomal RNA is filed under the name Streptomyces carpaticus. RNAcentral's name for it is "bacterial SSU rRNA". It matches the Rfam family "Bacterial small subunit ribosomal RNA", at positions 369 to 918 of the family's 1533-position model. The record is from RNAcentral. Lineage: Bacteria; Bacillati; Actinomycetota; Actinomycetes; Kitasatosporales; Streptomycetaceae.
CAAUGGGCGAAAGCCUGAUGCAGCGACGCCGCGUGAGGGAUGACGGCCUUCGGGUUGUAAACCUCUUUCAGCAGGGAAGAAGCGAAAGUGACGGUACCUGCAGAAGAAGCACCGGCUAACUACGUGCCAGCAGCCGCGGUAAUACGUAGGGUGCGAGCGUUGUCCGGAAUUAUUGGGCGUAAAGAGCUCGUAGGCGGUUUGUCGCGUCGAUUGUGAAAGCCCGGGGCUUAACCCUGGGUCUGCAGUCGAUACGGGCAGGCUAGAGUUCGGCAGGGGAGACUGGAAUUCCUGGUGUAGCGGUGAAAUGCGCAGAUAUCAGGAGGAACACCGGUGGCGAAGGCGGGUCUCUGGGCCGAUACUGACGCUGAGGAGCGAAAGCGUGGGGAGCGAACAGGAUUAGAUACCCUGGUAGUCCACGCCGUAAACGGUGGGCACUAGGUGUGGGCAACAUUCCACGUUGUCCGUGCCGCAGCUAACGCAUUAAGUGCCCCGCCUGGGGAGUACGGCCGCAAGGCUAAAACUCAAAGGAAUUGACGGGG